CACAGGCGAAAGGCCAACCUGCUGGGCUGAAGGUGGACCAUGGGCCACGCCUGAGUGACAGGAGCCCCUCUGCAGCCAGAAGCGCCUCUGGAAAAACCCAACCCGACAGGACCGGCUCUAGAAAGGCCGCCGGGGGUCAGCCCGCUCCCUGCGGAGAGCAGGGGAGGGGAGGGUCCCGGGACCCUUCCAAGAUUUUCACAGCAUCUCAGCAGCGCGCCCAGAGCUCAGUCCAUGACCGGCUGCCCCCGGAGAAAGAAUUACGACUUGUCCGGCGCCCCGCUCCCCACACCGUUGGCCCCGGGGCCCCCUGACGACAGCCAGCUUGGGGGCUCCCGUCUGCAGGGCUAACGAUCUGCGACAGCAUUGGCGAGGGAACUGUCUACAGAUGAGGUGAGACACCCCAAACCUCUCCCUGCCUUCCUCCCGUAACCCCAGCUACACUUGUCCUAAAGGGGGGUUUUUUAAAAGAAGUUUCGAAAGGACAGAAGAGCAGAGUAACACGAUUAGCCGGUAAGCCCACACGUUUUAGAGAAAUCGCUUUUGCUCUGGUUUGUCAGGAAAGAACGGGGCCUGUCCUCAGGCCGGUGACGGCCGUUUGCCUCAGGGGGGCCUGGGCAGUCCUCCCCGCCGCCCCAGGCCCCAGGCCUGAGCCCGCGCCAACCUUCUGGUGCGCCGGGCACCAUUCCUACGGUCAGAGUCCUUCUGGGCCUUGUCCCUCCUCAGCCACCGGGGCAGCGCCCUGGGGGUGUGACCACGAAGUCCCAGGGCACCCCGCGCUUGGGAGGGGGCCCCGCCCAUGGCGGUCAGCGCUCCGCUAUCUCGGUCCUGACACUUCACCACUCCCCCUGGGACUCUGCUUGGUGGAUGAAGUCCAGUGGGACAAAUGAGUUCACGGCCCCCCAGCCCAGCGACUGCCGGGAGGGCCCGGGGCAGGUGCCAAGUCGCAGGGUGGGCCCGGGGCUCCUGUGAGGGUCUGCACUUGCAAUAAAAGCACACGGUGACAGGUCAAGAGAGAAACCACAGGAAAAGCUUUUUUUCUGUUUUCCUACUUCUUGAACAAGGGACCCUGUGUUUUCACCUGGCACUGAGGCCUGCAGAUUAUACAGCUGGCCAAGCUCAGUGACCUGGGGUCCACUCUGGAUGUAGAGAAAACACACCUCUGUCAGGGGCACGGGCAUUGGGUCCAGAAAACGCCCUGCUGCCGACCAGCAUGUUGAAAAAGGAGGCCACAGAGCGGGGAGGAACCAAGCCAAGGACAUCAAGGCAAAGGUGAAACCAAGUUCCCCAGAAACCAAAUUUCCCUUGCCAGGUUUAUGAACCUCUCUAUCCAAAACUUUAUUCUCUUUCUUAUCCUAACCCCAUCCCCCUCAAGACUGAGGAGAAUCAGAGAAAAGUGGGGAUUGAAACAAAGCAGGACACUGCAGGGCCUUCCCAAGCACAAAAACACCUCUGUGUCCCACGUUUCUUGUUUGCAGAAAAAGGCUGUAAUCCCAAAGGUCUUCCCUGAGUUCCAAAUAGCAGACUCAAGCAGUUACUAAUUAGCGAAGUGAGGGAGUGGGGAAACAGAAAAAGCAGUUAAGCAAGAAAAGUAAUGACAGCUUAAACAACAAUCGAGUUGUAGGUCCUCCUCAUAGAAUGUGUAUAACAAUCUGAUGUGUAUCUUUGAGUUGUUCUGCAGGAACUGGGACCCCCGCCCAGGUGGGGGAUGGUGACCACAUACUCACCACAAGCAUGCAGACCCCAGACUGGCUGGAACCAGAAGACUGUUGGUCAAAAAUCCCAAAACACCACUCUGUUAGCUCACCACCAACCAAUCAGAAGAAGGGCGCGUGAGCUGCAACCCUCGUCCCAAAUGUUGCCUUUAAAACCCCUUCCCUGAAAAUCAGUGAGGGGUUGGGGCUUUCAAGCAUGAGCUGUCCAUUCUCCUUGCUUGUUGCCCUGCAAAUAAACGCUGUGCUUUUCUUCACACACCACAGUGUCAGUAAGUUGGCUUUGCUACAUGGCGAGCAAGGUUGGUUCAGUAACAGAGGGUACCAGGCCCAGGGACAAAGGUCUGAAGUGGCCUUGACAGCCCAUGGGCUGUGUGAGAACAAGCAACGGGCUCCUGCGUCACUGCAGCUUGCACAUCUCCCUGGAGAGCAUCCAGCACCACGGGGACCCCAGGCUCUCAGGGCCUGGGGACAAGUGCCAGCAUCUGGACACACAUGGGCUGGACACAGGCCCCACAGGACACAGUUACAUGAGUGUGCAUGCCACAAAAGCCUGGGAGAAAACACAUAAAACUCUUCACAGUGUUUCUCAGCAAGGCAGCGGUUGAUAAACACCCUCGGUGUAAGGAGCGGUGAAACACAGAAUCCACGCAUAUUUCUGGGAACGCGACCAGCUCCUUGUCAGUAGCCCCAGCACAGGACGUGGGUGUGCGAGUACUGGCACACGGGGGCAUACACGAACGCUCAUGGCACACACAGCCCACACCCAAUCCACACUCCGGUUUCUCACAAAGCCCAGACUGGGCUGUCUGUCACGGCCAGCAAUAGUGGCAUAGAUGUACAACAGCGGAUGAGAUGGUUGGAUGGCAUCACUGACUCGAUGGACAUGAGUCUGAGCAAGCCCCAGGAGUUGGUGAUGGACAGGGAGGCCUGGCGUGCUGCAGUCCAUAGGGUCACAAAGAGUUGGACAUGACUGAGCGACUGAACUGAACUGUCAUUUAAAUUUUUUCACACCCACUUGCUAAAAAAGCAGAAAAGAAGCAGGUGGAAUCAGCUAACAGCUGUGAGGCCCGCGUCACACCUGUGUGUCCAUCGUUGCCUGAGACCACAGCUCCAUUCUCCCCAGCAGCAUCCUCGCCACCAACAGAGAACACCCCCCUUGGCUGGUGACGUGGUCCAGAAAACUCAGGAAGCCCCCUCAAGUGAACCUUAUGUUGGGUGGGCCUGAGGCCCCAGACCCUGGUCUAGCAAGGCGGACUCACUUACGUGUAAAUCGCGGGUACAUCUAAAUCCAAAGGGACAAGCAUGCUGCAAUUACGAGGAGCAAUGAAAGAUGGAAGAAACUGGAAUUAAUACUGACCUGCUUGGUCCAGCUGGGAGCAGGUGACUCAAAGGAAGAAGGCUGGGGUGAUGAAGACAGAAG
Long non-coding RNA from Bos taurus (domestic cattle), 3132 nucleotides. Lineage: Eukaryota; Metazoa; Chordata; Mammalia; Artiodactyla; Bovidae. The record is from Ensembl.